RNAcentral lists this long non-coding RNA (823 nucleotides) under Ananas comosus (pineapple). RNAcentral's name for it is "long non-coding RNA (ACOM_LNC018336)". Lineage: Eukaryota; Viridiplantae; Streptophyta; Magnoliopsida; Poales; Bromeliaceae. The record is from RNAcentral.
UUUGCGGUCUCCUAUGUACAUUUAGGUUUUGUUUAGAUGGAUGAAUUUCUUGUUCGGUAUUUCUUCAUGAUUUAGGUUCUGAUUAAAUAUUGGAAUAAGUUUAUUCUUUAAGCCACCGUUUGGUUCAGGGUUAAGUAAAAACUUAUUAUUUUAGGGAUAGAGUUAAGUUCAGAGUUAAUGUUAGGUUAGAGUAAUUUUGUAUUUGGUUGAGUAUUUGGUUUAGUCCAGAUAUAGAUAAAAUAGUAUUUGGUUGGAGUAAUGAGGUGGGGUCAGGUAGGAUGGGGUUGGGUUAUAACCCCACCUUCCAAAUUGGGUGUUUAAAAAUAACUUCGGGGUUAAGAGGUUAUUCCAUCCAUUAACUCCGAACCAAACAGGUGCUUAAAGCUAUCCAAGAAUAACUUAUUCUGUUUAAGAGUUUUUUAGUAUAAAUGUAAGUAACGAGUUUGAUAUUUGCUUUUUCGAAGGUAUUUAUGAUUUGGGAGUAUAGCAUAUUUUACGUGAAAAAAUGACUGGAAGUCCAAAUAUAAUAUUUUAUUCUAAAUAUUUGAUUACAUUCUUUACUAAUCAUAUGUAUAAAAAUUCUUAAUUAAAUUUAAAAAUAUACUGGACUAGAUAUUCAUAAUUCAUAUAUCCAAACAGGAUCUUACUCAAGAAAUUAGUACAUUUAGUAUAUAAGGAGUGUGAUCAAAUAUUUAAAAUUAGAUAUUAUAUUUGACCUCAUUGAUAAAAUAUGUUAUUCUAUCAGAUUAUAAAUAUCACAACCUCUUAAGAUCUAAAAUUUAAUCUCUAUUUUUAUCAUCACACUAGAAAACUCACAUACUUG